UACAGGGGUCUCAAGCGUUGUUCGGAUUCAUUGGGCGUAAAGGGUGUGUAGGUGGCGCCGUAAGUCGGGUGUGAAAUUUCGGAGCUUAACUCCGAAACUGCAUUCGAUACUGCGGUGCUUGAGGACUGGAGAGGAGACUGGAAUUCAUGGUGUAGCAGUGAAAUGCGUAGAGAUCAUGAGGAAGACCAGUGGCGAAGGCGGGUCUCUGGACAGUUCCUGACACUGAGACACGAAGGCCAGGGGAGCAAACGGG
This 253-nucleotide ribosomal RNA is filed under the name uncultured bacterium. Its description in RNAcentral is "partial 16S ribosomal RNA". It matches the Rfam family "Bacterial small subunit ribosomal RNA", at positions 524 to 776 of the family's 1533-position model. The record is from RNAcentral.